GAUGAACGCUGGCGGCGUGCUUAACACAUUCAAGUCGAACGAUGAAGCCCAGCUUGCUGGGUGGAUUAGUGGCGAACGGGUGAGUAACACGUGAGUAACCUGCCCCUAACUCUGGGAUAAGCCUGGGAAACUGGGUCUAAUACCGGAUAGGAGCGUCCACCGCAUGGUGGGUGUCGGAAAGAUUUAUCGGUUUUGGAUGGACUCGCGGCCUAUCAGCUUGUUGGUGAGGUAAUGGCUCACCAAGGCGACGACGGGUAGCCGGCCUGAGAGGGUGACCGGCCACACUGGGACUGAGACACGGCCCAGACUCCUACGGGAGGCAGCAGUGGGGAAUAUUGCACAAUGGGCGCAAGCCUGAUGCAGCGACGCCGCGUGAGGGAUGACGGCCUUCGGGUUGUAAACCUCUUUCAGUAGGGAAGAAGCGAAAGUGACGGUACCUGCAGAAGAAGCACCGGCUAACUACGU
Molecule: ribosomal RNA, 465 nt
Filed under: uncultured bacterium
Lineage: Bacteria
Description: partial 16S ribosomal RNA
Rfam family: Bacterial small subunit ribosomal RNA
Source: RNAcentral